RNAcentral lists this ribosomal RNA (465 nucleotides) under uncultured bacterium. RNAcentral's name for it is "partial 16S ribosomal RNA". It matches the Rfam family "Bacterial small subunit ribosomal RNA", at positions 28 to 507 of the family's 1533-position model. The record is from RNAcentral.
GACGAACGCUGGCGGCGUGCUUAACACAUGCCAGUCGAACGGAAAGGCCCCUUUGGGGGUACUCGAGUGGCGAACGGGUGAGUAACACGUGAGUACCCUGCCCUUGACUUCGGGAUAACUUCAGGAAACUGGGGCUAAUACCGGAUAGGAAUCCUUGCUGCAUGGUGGGGGUUGGAAAGCUUCGGCGGUUUUGGAUGGACUCGCGGCUUAUCAGCUUGUUGGUGGGGUAGUGGCUUACCAAGGCUUUGACGGGUAGCCGGCCUGAGAGGGCGACCGGCCACAUUGGGACUGAGAAACGGCCCAGACUCCUACGGGGGGCAGCAGUGGGGAAUAUUGCACAAUGGGCGGAAGCCUGAUGCAGCAACGCCGCGGGCGGGAUGACGGGCUUCGGGUUGUAAACCGCUUUCAGCAGGGGCGAAGCUUGUGGUGACGGUACCUGCAGAAGAAGCACCGGCUAACUACGUG